UGGACAUUUAUUUUGAUUCAGUUUCUUCAUAAGGUGAAGAUAACUCUUUAUAAAUGUCCUAGAGAAAUAUAGUAGCUUUCUGUUCACCCUUUGCAAGUGAAAAGGGUGGAUCGUUCCACUACUGACAUUU
Molecule: small nucleolar RNA, 130 nt
Filed under: Suricata suricatta (meerkat)
Lineage: Eukaryota; Metazoa; Chordata; Mammalia; Carnivora; Herpestidae
Description: Small Cajal body specific RNA 24 (ENSSSUG00005017009.1)
Rfam family: Small Cajal body specific RNA 24
About the family: scaRNAs are a specific class of small nuclear RNAs which localise to the Cajal bodies and guide the modification of RNA polymerase II transcribed spliceosomal RNAs U1, U2, U4, U5 and U12.
Source: Rfam by way of RNAcentral